AAACAAAACCUAAAUGGCCAAAAACCUAAAACUCCCCAACGCAGCCCAGUCCUCCCUUUCCUCUCCCAUCUGAAACUUUGAACUUUGAAAUUAAAAGAUCAAAGAACCCUAGCCCCCAGCCCCACAGCCACCGAAGUCCCGCAACCCCGCAGCCCCCACAGCCCCCACAUUCCCAUUCUCCAUGGUCGUCCCCUUCCCUUCGUUGCAUGUCUCAACCUAGUCUCUCUUCAUUGCGUGUGCCAUCGCUGCUUCUUCACCCCUUGUUGUCGGUCGUCGCUACACAGCUCCUCGCUGUGGGUCGUCGCGGUUCUGCUCCUCGCCGUGCGUCAUUGUUGCUUCUCUACCUCCUCACCGGUCUUACUGGCUGGUCUUUGCUUCUCUGCUCCUCACUCGCCAUCUCUGUCCUCAUCAUCAUCGGUGUGCUAUGACUCUUGUGAGGAAGUCCUGAAAGUUUCCUGCUAUGAGGCUUUUCAUGUCAGUGUAAAGCUAUUAUUGAUAUUGGCAAAACUCUACCAUUGUUCAUGGAGCUUCAAAUUUUAGGUGACAGGAUGCGAAGAACCAUGCUCUACAAAGUGUCUUGUUUUCAAUGUUGCAGGUCUUAUUUAAUUUGAGCUGAACCGUUUGGUUAUAUUGACUGUGUGAUUUCCUCACAUGUUUGUGCUAGCUGAACAAUUUGAAACUAUAGGUACUAGAGAAAGUAAAGCUCAAAUUUUCUAGACAAAAAUUUUUAGAAUUGUAUUAAUUGACAUCAUAUUGUUAUUGAUCAUGUCCUAGAUAUUAAUUGCUAAUUUCAUUUUAUAACUAUCUUUUGAUUUUAUAGGUACUUUACAUCAACAAAGUGUUGGUGCUAAAGGUUUGAAAACUGUUUUAAAGCUUAGGAGGAAUGGCUCUGCGGCAUCUAAUAUAAAUAGUGUUGCUUCUUAUUGUGUUGCAAUAUUAUGCUUACUAUUUCAGAGUUUGUUUGUAACUCCUUUAAAGCGCAUGAGUAGCUUGUGUUUCAAUGAAAAGCUAUUUUUUCUGUCACUUUACAAGGUCUUGGUUUCUAUCUCAGAAACUGCUCCCAUCAUUUUAUACAUUAGAGAUGUUGAGAGCCUUGUUCUACAAUCAUCAAGGUUAUACAACUUGAUACAUAAUGCUUCAUUAUUUUUGAAAAUUGGUAGGCAUUUAUCCUUUUUCGUGCUCUUAUUGACGAAGAAUCUAAAUUAUAAUUAGUGUUACAUCUUGUUUCUAAUUUUUAUUUUGGUUUUUUAUAUCUUUUUUUUAUAUCUUGUUUCUUAUGUUAAACAUCUACAAGUGAUUCGUGCAAAAAUAUUCUAUCAUAAUAUGGAAACAGUUAGUAUAAAUGAUCAUAAUUAUUAUGAUUAUUUAAGUUAAUAGUGUGAGAUUAUGCAAAUUUUUUUAAUCAAUUGCUUUGUCAAGGUCUAAACUCUACUCUUCGAUUGUUACAUCGAUAGGUGGAAGCCAUCAAAAAAAUUGUUGAGUAUGUUGCUCAACUGAAAAAGAGUUGGAAAAGGACAUGGUGUGUGGCACUUAUUAGAAGCUUUUCUAUGAGAAAGGAGAUGUAUGAAUAUGAUGGAGUUUGUAAUUUGUAGUUUAUAUUUUGGACAUUUAUAAUUCCUUAUUUUUCUUGUCCUAUGCAUCUAUCUAGUUCUUUAGGAUUCUUCAAUGUGUCUUGUUAGUUUGUAAUUUAAAGUUUAUAUAUGGAAGA
Arachis ipaensis is the source of this 1708-nucleotide non-coding RNA. NCBI's taxonomy places the organism in Eukaryota, Viridiplantae, Streptophyta, Magnoliopsida, Fabales, Fabaceae. The record is from RefSeq and is a predicted model, not a curated record.